Meriones unguiculatus (Mongolian gerbil) is the source of this 1663-nucleotide long non-coding RNA. RefSeq lists it as uncharacterized. The transcript has 4 exons. The record is from RefSeq and is a predicted model, not a curated record. NCBI's taxonomy places the organism in Eukaryota, Metazoa, Chordata, Mammalia, Rodentia, Muridae.
UCACCGGUCUUUGUUCUUUCACACUUGGCAGAGAGAAAUGUUCCAGAGAACUUCUAGAUGUAAUUCAACUGAGUUUUGUGGCUUUUCCUGAUCGUUCUUAUUCAGGGGAGUCUGACUGUUUCUGCUGAAUCCUGCUGAUUCAUGUUGCUGCUUGGUGUUGGCAUUUGGACUGGACUGUCCGGACUAUGAAGAGUGGACUUGCCCCAAGGAACUAUUUCUAAAAAGGUGGUUAGAAUUGUCAUUCUCUUCUGAAGUGAUGGGCAGUGAUGGAUUGAUCAAAGCAAGUCUUGUGGCUUUGGAGAGUCUCUGGUUGUGCAUCUCUUAGGAGCCCCCUGACCACCGCAUCUUCCCUACUCCACGGGACUCCAAGACCCCUGGUGUUUCAAGCCUUGCUCUGAGGCGAACAAAGACAUCAAGAAAGAAGCACUGGUAGGAGCAGGCAGGGCUGCGGGAGGGAGGCAGCAUGAACUAAGUCAAAAGCAACCAUAACAUCAACAAUCCGACUUUGAAGUUCUAACUACUGAGAGUCAACUUCCUCCUUAACCACGCAAACAGUUGAAGAAGUUGUGAAAUGAAUGAAUAAGUGCGCCGAAGAAAUACAGUAAGAGAGAGCACAUAUGUUAAAGAAAAUAACAGAGUGUCUAGCAUAUGGUAGGUAUGUGAUAAAUAAAUGAUACAGUAGUUUCUUAAUAAAUAGAGGGGAGCUGUUUUCUGCUAAAUAAAAAGCAGGCUUCUGCUUGAAAGCCAUUUGCUAAUGCAUAAUUAUUAUUCCAUUGUAUGAGAGAUUCAGGGUGCAAUUAGUGACUUCAAGUACAAUUUGCUUAUUGGGGCAAGGGCAAGAGGACGGAACGUAGAAAAAUCGUCAUUCUUUUUCAGCACCGAUACUUUGUUAGUGAGAAGAAAAGAAUGCUCCAUCUAUUUGGUAGAUGUUGGUGUUUUUAACCUUUAACUCUAAUCUCCUGUGAGACUUGGCAGAAGAUUUUUUAAUUUUCACUCUUCUGUUUUGAGACCCACAUAUCAAGAAGAUGAAGAAGUAGAAUGUCCUAGGAGACAAAGCCACUUUCCAGUUUAGAGGAAUUGGCCUCCAAGCUGAUCUGAAAGAGCUGCCGAGUGCCUGGCUGUUGUGCCAAAUUGCCUUGACCUGAAACAGUCAUGAGACACUGAGAGACGAGAGAACUCAGGGAAGACAGGAAGCACAGCCAGCCACCUUUUGAUUUUUAUUAAAUGUCCUGUGUUGACAGGCAUCUAAGAAUACCUUCCUCCAGCUAGGAUGUGGGGGUCAGGUACGGUGGGAAUAGAGGGUCAUGGUUGGGGGUUAUGGCUGUCAGGGGGAGCUGGUGAAGAUCUCCAAAACACGUUCAAGGAGUCAUGAGAACAGGCAUGGAGUCUGUAACCUUCCUAAAAUCUGAAAAUGACAGCUUUUAUUUUAUGUUUAAAUAGAAAAAUUGAGCUGACCUUCUGUGGGCUGAAUGUGUCAUCCAUCCAUCCACUGUGUUCAUUCUUGCACAUAACUCGAUGAAUAAUGAGUGUUAAAGUAUGUGCCAGGCCCUGUCUUAUGCCCUGGAGAUAACUGACCAAAUGAAGGUGUUUAAACUUAGUAAUGAUACUGAUAUAUGAUGCUGAUAUUAUGUAUAUAUGUAUAUAUAUAUUACACACAUAUAUG